Molecule: unclassified non-coding RNA, 229 nt
Filed under: uncultured fungus
Lineage: Eukaryota; Fungi
Description: sequence contains ITS1, 5.8S rRNA gene
Rfam family: 5.8S ribosomal RNA (bases 181-229)
Source: RNAcentral
UCUCCGUUGGUGAACCAGCGGAGGGAUCAUUACCGAGUUUACAACUCCCAAACCCCUGUGAACAUACCACUUGUUGCCUCGGCGGAUCAGCCCGCUCCCGGUAAAACGGGACGGCCCGCCAGAGGACCCCUAAACUCUGUUUCUAUAUGUAACUUCUGAGUAAAACCAUAAAUAAAUCAAAACUUUCAACAACGGAUCUCUUGGUUCUGGCAUCGAUGAAGAACGCAGC